UGUGUGGAGGGGGUGGCCACGCUCGUGC
Molecule: non-coding RNA, 28 nt
Filed under: Homo sapiens (human)
Lineage: Eukaryota; Metazoa; Chordata; Mammalia; Primates; Hominidae
Source: RNAcentral